RNAcentral lists this ribosomal RNA (1062 nucleotides) under Triticum aestivum (bread wheat). RNAcentral describes it as "partial small subunit ribosomal RNA". Lineage: Eukaryota; Viridiplantae; Streptophyta; Magnoliopsida; Poales; Poaceae. The record is from RNAcentral.
AUGCUGGAAGGAAUUAGGACUAAAUUGAUGGUGAAGUUUAACACAAAUAGAACCAAGACAGAGACAACAAAUUGGGAGAUUUGCCCAACAUAUGCAGAGAUGUUAGAGGAGGCAAAGUACAACUCAAGGUGGUGCCAAUCUUUGAUGGCUGGUCCUAGCAUUUACCAAGUUAGUAGUGGAGAUAACACCUACUCAGUCAACUUGCUGCACAGAACAUGUGGAUGUAGGAAAUGGGAUAUGACUGCUAUGCCUUGCAAUCAUGCAGUAUCUGCAAUUGUGAAGGCUAAGUUGCAACCUGAAGACUUUGUUGAUGAUUUCUUCAAGAAGGCAAUGUACCAGAAAGCAUAUGGGCAUAUCAUAUUUCCUGUCCCUGGUCCAAAUCUGUGGCCAAGGACAAGAACUCAGGACAUAGAGCCUCCAGUUUUCAGAGACAAAGUAGGGAAGCAACAAACAAAGAGGAGGAAAAACCCGUUUGAGAAGGCAGCACCAAGAGAUACAUCUAGGAUGGCAUCCAUUACUUGUAGCAACUGCAAACUUGUGGGGCACAGAUACACUGUGUGCUCCAAGCCCUUGAAACCAGCUCUUGCAAUGAGACAAAACCAACAUCAGCCAAACAGGUCAAAUGCUUCUGCUUCAUCUACAGCUGCUGCACCAACAAGGAAGAGGCCAUCUCCAUCUACAGAUGUUGGGACUGCUCCUGCCAGGAAGAAAGCUGCACCUGCUGCACCUGCUGCUACUGCACCUGCUGCUACUGCACCUACUGCUCCUCCAAAGAGGAGAGCUGCACCUGCUGCUACUGCACCUACUGCUCCUCCAAAGAGGAGAGCUGCACCUGCUGCUACUGCACCUACUGCUCCUCCCAGGAGGUCUCCAAGGAAGAAUGCUACCCCAACACCUACUGCUCCUCCAAGGAGGUCUCCCAGGAAGAAAACUACCCAAGCUGGUGCAUCUUCUACAUCUGCUGCAGGCCCUAGGGGAGCAUUUCAUGCUCCAAGACAGACUGGAAGGAAGAGGACAGUUUCCUACAAGAUGAAGGAGUACCUAUAUGCUUCUGGGAACUAG